Molecule: long non-coding RNA, 343 nt
Organism: Musa acuminata AAA Group (dessert banana)
Lineage: Eukaryota; Viridiplantae; Streptophyta; Magnoliopsida; Zingiberales; Musaceae
Exons: 2
Source: RefSeq, a predicted model, not a curated record
UUCAACCGAGGCACAAAAAAAAUAAAGGUAAGAAGUCAACCACCCCUUGCAGCCAUUUACAUUUAUCGAGAAUGUCCACCAGCAUCUAUCUCCCUUCUUCAGAUCUGCGCGCCACGACAUGCGUCCAUCGUCCUCGAACUAGAUCGAAGCAGGUGGCAGCAUCAGCGCCGCAAAAGACUCCGUCAUGCCUUGUGUGCAUCGCAGUGAAACAUCAAAGCAACUCAGGACGAUACAAAAAUGGAGUAUCUACUCGACAAGUUCUCCUGAUUCAGGUUUAGCACAUCCCGAUCGAGUCUUUUUAGCAUCUUCGGUUCCGAUAAAGUGAAUCUAAAUUGAGGGGGUA